UCGUGACGCGGGACCUUUGAUCUUCACUGCAUCACAUGAGCUUGCCCUUGCAGUCUGUGAACUCUUAAUGCGGCGUGUGGGAUCUCGUUCCCUGACCGGGGAUUGAACCCAGGCCCCCUGCAUUGGGAGCGUGGAGUCGUAGCCACCGGGCCACCAAGGAAGUCCCCGUGUCGCUCUUUAACUUGUCGCGGAACCUGGUUUUUUGUUGGCUCGACAGGCAGCAGAACUGCAAAAAGCCCCAACAUGCUAUUUUGGGAAAACCAAGUAAUUCUGCAGUCCUGAGUAUUCUAAGAUCCAGACGUGCCUUUCCAUCUGGCGAUUUUUAAAAAAGGUUUGGGCUUCCAGUUUAAGACGGCAGCGUGGAAGCACGUGGACCCUCCCCUCCUGUGAGAGCACCAACGCUGCAGCCAGCUGCUGAAGAACCGUCGACAAGAGAAUGCCGGAACCCACCCACAGCAGACACCCCACACCCAGGACGCAGCAAGGCAGUAGGAGAGGUGUGAUAAAAUCAAAUCCCUGUGGAGGCAUGGGUCGGCAGGGGCCCCCAAAGGGGCAGGACGCUGGCAGCAGCAGUCCUGGAUGAUCCUCCUUGGCGUAAGUCCUCUGGAGGUCAACGUUAACCCUACCGUAGAGGCUCUAGACCCUAGGGCUGGUUCAAACAACUAGGGUUUGAGCCAUCAGCAGAUAAUUGGGUUAAAGCUUUACUGACCAAGGCCCUGCCCACCAGAGCAAGACCCAGUUUUUCCCAUCAGGAAGCUCUUAGCCUCUUGGCCUCCUCCAUCAGAGGGCAGACAGAAGAAGCAAGAAGAAGUACAAUCCCACAGUGGCUAAAAUAAAACCACAUUAGAGAGCAUUCUUUACGAUGCAAAAGCAGACAGUCACGUACCAGAUGAAGGGACAAGGUAAAACCCCCCAAAACAACUAAAUGAAGUGGAGAUAAGCAACCUUCCAGAAAAAGAAUUCAGAACAACGAUAGCGAAGGAUCUGGGGAAAACAAUGGAGAAGAUGCAAGAAAUGUGUACCAAAAGCUUAGGAGAACUAAAGAACAAACGAACAGAGAUGAAUAGUACACUAGAAGGAAUCAGCAGCAGAAUAACGGAGGCCAGAGAACAGAUCAGUGACCCGGAGGACAGAGCGGUGGAAAUCCCUGCCACAGAGCGAAAUACAGAAAAAAGAACAAAAAGAAAUGAAAGCAGCCUAAGACCAAGAGAGACCUCUGGGCCAACAUUAAAUGCACUGGUAUUCACAAAAGGGUCUCAGAGGAGAAGAAGGAAGGACCUGAGGAAAUCUUUGAAGAGGUAAGAGCUGAAAACGUCCCUAACGUCGGAAAGGAAAUAGUCACCCAAGUCCAGGAAGCAGAGAGAGCCCCACGCAGGAUAAACCCAAGGAGGAACACACCGAGACCCACAGUAAUCAAAGUGACAAAAAUUAAAGACAAAGGAAAUAAAACUAAAAGCAACAAAGCGAAACGGACCGAUGACAUACAAGGGAACUCCCGUCAGGCCAUCAGCUGAUUCCUCAACAGAAACUCUACAAGUCAGAAGGAAACGGCAUGAUAGAUCUAAAGUGAUGAAAGGGAAAAACCUGCAAUCAAGAAUACUCAACCCAGCAAGACUCUUUCAGAUUCAAUGGAGAAAUCAAAAAACUUUCCAGACAAGCAAAAGUUAAAAGAAUUCAGCACCACCAAACCAGCUUUACAACAAAUACUAAAGGAACUUCUCUAGGCAGGAAACACAAGAGAAGGAAAAGACCUACAGAAAAAACCCA
Molecule: long non-coding RNA, 1767 nt
Organism: Bos taurus (domestic cattle)
Lineage: Eukaryota; Metazoa; Chordata; Mammalia; Artiodactyla; Bovidae
Source: Ensembl